This is a non-coding RNA of Callithrix jacchus (white-tufted-ear marmoset), 1716 nucleotides long. NCBI's taxonomy places the organism in Eukaryota, Metazoa, Chordata, Mammalia, Primates, Cebidae. The record is from RefSeq and is a predicted model, not a curated record.
GCGACAGGCAGGGAGCCGACAGGGACCACACCAAAGCAACAGGAAGAACCCGGGGAUGGGACGGGAGAGGGCAGGGCUGAGCGGGAAGGGGCGACAGGGAUGGUCCAGCCAAGGCAUAACCAGCCUUCACCCGGGCGCUCGCUGCGCGCACAGCGCCGCGCUGGGCACUUUGGAGCGCUCUCUCGGAGUCCCCCCCACCGGCCCUCCGAUGCCCCAUUUCAGAGACUGGAAUGACGAGGCCGACCCCGCAACGCCCGCUCAGCUCUGUCACCCGCCCCGGGGCAGCGGUGGCUCAGCGCCUGACCCUCCCGGACGCAGGGGGUCGCUGGCGGCCGCAGGGGGCGGUGGCGUGGGGGCCGGCGCGGGCCGGGGCAGCCGGUACCUGGGCUCGGGCAGGACGAUCCUCUUGCUGGCGCGGGCGGCCGGGGUCGCCUUGCUCUUCUCCAUGGCCAUCAGGUGAUGAUGAAACCCCGUGCCCCAGCGGAUCGGGCCCCUUCUUCGUGACCCUGAACAUCGCCCCAGCCCCGCCGUGAGAAUUCAGCGAAGAGUAAAAAGCUGAAGAAAGUUGCGUGUCUCAGGCUAAGCAAAGUGGAGUGAGGGCUCCCCGGCUAGGAACAGCUGCCCUUAGGGAGCCCCCCGUUGGAAAAGCUCUCGGCUUUAGAAGGUCACCACUCCCUUGCACUCAGCAGUACGGUGUAGUAAGUUUGGAACAAGACGCACCUGAAAUCAAAUACCUGUCCUAUGCCUGCAGACGGAAUCUCUCUCUGUUGCCAGGCUGGAGUGCGGUAGCACAAUCUCGGCUCACUACAACCUCCACCUCCCAGAUUCAAGCGAUUCUCCUGCCUCAGCCUCCCUAGUAUCCUGUGUGUUAAGCUCCAAUCUUCGUCACGUGAGAGUAUUUGAAAUGGAUAUAGAUGAUGACUGAGAGCUCGAUGAGUCUUCAGAUGAAGAGGAGGAGGCCAGUAACGAGCCUGUGAAAAUAAAGGAAGAAGUGUUGUCAGAGUCGGAGGCAGAGAACCAACAAGCCGGUGCUGCCGCCUUAGCUCCAGAGAUAGUCCUCAAAGUGGAAAAACUUGACCCUGAGCUAGAUUCAUAAUCUAGCUUGCUAUUACUGUGUGUGUCAUUAUGGCCAAAAGGACCUAGGAGAUGGACUGAGAUGUCUUGGACCACCUUUAAUUUUCUUUGUGUGACAAAGAAAUAAACAGUCAAUUUUAUUUUUUCAAAAUUACAGGCACAUGCCACCACAUUCAACUAAUUUUUGUAUUUUUAGUAAAGACGGGGUUUCAUCAUGUUGGCCAAAAUGGUCUCCAUCUCUUGACCUCCUAAUCCACCUGCCUCAGCCUCCUAAAGUGUUGGGAUUACAGGUGUGAGCCACCAAAGUUUCUUUUGCCAACAACUUGAAAUGAAAAAAGCGGAGAACUGACUGGCCUUAUUUGUUUUAGAUUCUGGACUUUACUAGGACUUCCUACUCUCAGAAUCUCUGGACUAUAAAAGCUGGGUGGGGUGGGAGCUGGGAACGUUCUUCUGGGAAAUUAAUCACAAAUGAAAAGAAAAUCAACUCUCAGACUCCAGUUAGAAGACUUUUGAAAAUUGCAGAACAUGAGUGGCCUUCAUUCAUUCAAGUCACAAUAUUUAAAGCAGUCCUUGCUAAAAAGAACUUGAUUUUGUAAAAGCAGUGUCUUAAAUAGAAUUGCUUCUCAAGAAAACAACAGGAAA